Long non-coding RNA from Prionailurus viverrinus (fishing cat), 6841 nucleotides. RefSeq lists it as uncharacterized. Lineage: Eukaryota; Metazoa; Chordata; Mammalia; Carnivora; Felidae. The record is from RefSeq and is a predicted model, not a curated record. The transcript has 3 exons.
UGUGGGGCUCGAACCCAUCCCCAUUGAGAUCAUGAGCUGAGCCGAAGUCAGACGCUCAGCUGACGGCCACCCAUGUGUCCUGAUAGUAUUUUUUUUCAAUGAGGAGCGUUCCUUUGAAAAUCCUAUUUCUAGCUUCUCUUCUAAUCUAGGGCUUGGGCAGCAUCUGUCUUCUUGAAAUGGGGCCUAGGGCUUCAUUCACGGGGGGCCACCCAGCCAGCUGCCCUUGUUUAUAUCCCCAGUCUGGCUGGUUCCUUCUGCAUUUAUAACUCUCUGUUUCACAGAGAACAGAGCAGCAGGACUUCCCAGAGGACAGAAGUGGGUGUCUUCCUGUGUCUUCCCCGGGUCCUCACAGCCUAGGAUAGAUCACAGGUACUGACUUGUGGAUGGCCAACCUGGAGCUUCAGGUCAACAGGGUCCUUACACCCUUAGGGGGAGCAGAGCAGUGCUUGCAGUGCCAUGACCCAAGCCAGGGGCCACACAAGGCCACAGGAGGUGGCACCUUCCUGAGGAGUAGAGUGACCCCACCAGCUUUGCAGAACGUUCCAUCAUCUUGCUAGGCAUGAAGAGGCUGGCAACUGGUACGUGUGGCUCUGAGGCAGGGGAAUGGAUGAAGGUGCACGUGCGGUCGGCGUGUGGAGGCCCUUUCCCUGGGUGGUCUCUGGUGAGUGGUGUGCGUGCCGAGGGAUCUGCUGGCAUCAGAGCAAGUACGUACAUCAUGUGUGUGUGACUGUGACAGAUGAGGAGCCUAUGUCUUGAACAGAGGGCAUGAAAUGUGUGUACAGCAUCUGAAGGAAUGUGCUUAAUGGUUAUCAUCACACAGCUCUUUUAUCGCAUAUUGUUUGUUUAAUUGAUAGCAGUUCUCCCUCCUCCAGGAUAAUUCAUUCGGGUUUCACAUUGAGAACAGAACUCAACCGUCCAUCCUCACUUCACAGGGUGUUUGAGACUGAUCUCCUGGUCCUGGUUUGCCUGUCUGGUUAGUUGGUUAGCUAGCUAGCUGAGCGGUCAUACUUUUAAGUAUCCCGAGUGGGUUUCCUGUCUUUUCUGAGCCACAUCUUUGGCUUGUUGUGUGACAUCACCAAAUCCCUGUUCUCUGUGUCAGCUCAUUGCUGCAGAAUGCUUUCUUCCCUUCUUUCUUUUUUUCAAUGUUAAUGAGUUUAAGUUACUUCAGAAUGUAUGAGAUUCUUCUCUCCCUCGUGUUGGAUAUUUGAGGGGAUGCAAAUAAACCGAACAUUUAUCAGUCCUCUCUUCUCUUAAUUGAACAGGGGCCGACUGCGGUGAGGCUUGGUAUUCUGCCCAAAGAUGUCCCUGAACAUCCACAGCUGGGCUUCUGUCAGCUCUGGAAACAACAAGGACAGGCCAGGGCGAAGGUGCCUCGGCAUUUAGAGCUGGAGCCUCUCGGCGCGUGAACAAAGCCUGUUUGAGGCACCCCGUUUAAAGCCCUGCUGAAUCCAUGAUGGCCGAGUCCUACCUUAAUUGGCAACCAUCUGCCUCCUACAGCAGUUCACGGGGAGCUCAUGCCAGCCUUUAGGCAGCUUCCUAUUUUGGAAAUGAUUUGUGAUUCAUAAUGAACCAAAGGUUGCUCUUCAGGUGACCUGUCAGGACCUGAGCUCUUUUUCGGACGCUCAACCGACUGAGCCACCCAGGUGCCCCACAAGUAGCCACUGUUUUCAGUUUGGUGAAUACCUCUGCAGUCCUUAAAAGACAGUCUCUUCAAAUAUUAAGAAUAUUUUUAUUUAACUUAAACCAAAACUAUAAAUCUAUUACAUUUCGCAAAAGGCCAUUUAGUGAAAAGGUACACACGCAUAGUGACUCGGUUUCUUUCAAAUACUGUCUCCUCUCUGGCUUAAGAAUCCUGUAUUGCUUUGAAAGGUCUUUGGCCAGGUCAGUCCUCUUCCCAGGUGACAGUAUUAAUGGUGUCGUACGUGGGUAAAGUGUCAGUCACAGCAUUUAGAAGAUGAUGCCCACCCCCAUCCGUUUCCGGUCCAGGUGGGUUAAUCAGAGACACAGCAGUGGCCGUGGCUUGGGAAAUCCCGUCUGUGUUUCUGGGUGUGGAUCCAAGGAUAGUUUUAAGACAUGGUGGUACUUUUCCUAAAGCCAGUACUCAGCCUCCUUCAGAUUUGUUACUGCCUGCCUCAAUAGUUCCUUUUCACCCACGUCGCCGGUGAAAUUCUCGUUCAGGGGAAGCAAUUCAUCGCGUUUUCUGCUUUGGGAAAACAGGAGCUGUGUUUCCUGAAGUAAGUUUGGUAAAACAUCUCGCUUCUCCUUGAGCUGCUUGAUCUCCGAAUCGGGGUGUUCGUGUUGUUUUCUUUCCAGUUCUGAAGGGGCAGCAGUCGAAGCAGACAGUGUCUGGUUAUCGUCCUGGAGGGUUCUCAUUGUGGCAUCUUUUUUCCUGCUUUGACUCUCUGAGCUCCUCUACCUCUUGAUGGAGCAAUCGAGAAGACUCACUCGAUACGUCAGACUUAAUUGCCUUAGGAGAGCCUGCUGACUCGGAUGAUUCGGUGGAGGGCUGGAACGAAAUGAUGGCGAAUUUCCCUAAAAGCAGAUCCUUGCCAUUGCAGAGCUCCGCGGUGCUGAGCUGCAUUUGUGUCAGUCCUGUUUCGGAAUUUUUUUCGUUUGAUUUCGUUUCCUUCGUGACUCUGGACCAGGCCAGUACAGGUCAUCUGUAGUCUAGGAUUAUUGUCACGGUGAGUUUGGCAAAAUUGCCAAUAAAGCCUGACAUUCCUGCCUUAAUGCAUCCACUCCAGUGUCUUUUUCUUGAAUAACGUGUGACAAAUUCUGAAUCGUUUCUCUAAACACGUCCUGGUCGCUAGACUCAAUUCUAGUGAAUAUUUUCCUCUUACAGCUUCAUGAGAUAUGCUUCUUUGGCAACCAUUCUAUCUGUCAUUUUGUGGUACUCUCUGUUCAGAUUGCUGUUUUCCCUAGUUCUCCUGUAAGGCAGCUAAUACUUGUUCUCUUUCCAAAGCAUACCUUGCAAUUGCUGCUGAAGGUUUGCCACAUUCUGGUUGUAGGAAGCCACAGACGUCCUGCUGGGGCGGUCGUCUCUCUCCACAUCUUUUUGCCGGAUAAUCUGAGUUAGUUUACCAGUCUCCUCUUUGGAUGGGUGUUCAGUCUGUUCAGUUAAUCAGAUGUUCUUUUCAGUGAGGAGUUUAAUCUCCAAUUCUUUUCUUUUCUUUCUUUUAUUUCUUUUUUUAAUUUUUAAUCUCCAAUUCUUGGCCUUUUGUUCCUUUUACUUAAUCUUUCAGUUUCAGCUUCAGGUAAAUCAUGCUUUUCACUUCCGUUUUUCUACAGGAAGAUGCUGAAUCGUUGUUACUUGAGAAACAUCAGAAUGUUUUGUAGGAAUGUGCUGGGUUUUUGAAGGAUCUGGGCUUUCAUUUGCUCUACUGUGUUCUGCAAAAUCUUAAUCUCCUCAUCUUUCGCUAAAAGGAGCUGAGCGUGUUGAAUGUUCAUUUGCUCAUGCUGGUGUGUUAGAUCAUCUACCUUCCGUUUCUGGUCUUGUAAAGAACGAAGCCAUUGCAGCUUAGCCUGGCGUUGAUCCUCAAUGAUCUUUUGUUGUUGUUUGAUUUCGUCUACCAGACAGACUCUUUCUACAUUCAGCUGAUACACCUCGGAUUCUAGUUCCAUGAUACAGUCUUGCGUUUGCGGGUCGACCACAGGUACGGUUUGGCUGUGUUCUCUCAGACACUCCAAUUCGUCUUGCAGAAAUUCAUUUUCUUCUCUGGUGGAUGCAAGACGAACGUCUUGCUCCUCCACGGUUUGCUGUAAAAUUUCGUUUUCUCUUACGACUUGGACGUACUUCUCUAAUAGCUCCUGGAGCUCUGGCCUUCUCUCAAGUUUUUCAAUACAGAUUUCUUUCUCUUUAAUAAGUUGUGUCAAUCGCUUAUGCUCCUCCAGAGCAGAGGAGAGCAUUUCCUUAGUGUCUCUAUGGUCGGCAUCCAUCUGCUCAACACUCUUUUUGAGUUGUAGUAUUUCAUCGUCUUUCUCUUGACUGCGUUGAAUUAAACACUCCUGCUCUAAGUGGGAGGAGGACUUAGACAAGUGAUACGUGUUGGUCAGUUCUUUAAUAGCUUGCUCAUACCUGGCUGUUUCCUCCAACAGCUUCUUUUCAGCCCGGCACAAUUUUACGAUUAACUGUCCUUUUUCUAUUUUUAAGGCCCGCGUAAUAGAUUUUGUUUCCAGAGAAUUCUUACGGUUACAGACAGUAGUUUCUUCCAGCCGACGUCUUACGUCUUCAAGCUCCAAAACCAACUUUCCAUUUUCCACCUUGAGAUUGCAAGCAGCUUUCUUUAAAUUGCCAUUCAGCUCUUCCAUUUCUGAAAGGCUUUGCUGCAACUUUCUAACCGUCGUUUCCCUCCGUGGAAGUGAGUCAUCUUCAACAGUAUUGUCAGAGUCUUGAUUAAGAGACUGUGCUGGCUCCUUCUCAGCUCUAGCAGAUUCCUCCUCGUCUUGUUUAAUAUGUUCCUUAAGUUCAACGUUCUCCUUCGGGAUGUUUAAAGUAUGUGUUUGCGACGGAUCUGACCGAUGCAAAUCAUUAACAGCCAGUUGACUUUGAGGUGAUUCUUCGUUUUGCGCAUCUAAGUCUUUAGCUCUGUCCAUUUGCUCCUCUUCACAUGGACAAGCUCUCUUUUCAUCAUUGAGAUCGUGUUCCACGUUGCCGUUGAUGCCGUUGCCUUCAUUUUGUGGUUCUGAUAGCUGACCUUUCAUCCAAACCCUGGGCUGUGUGGUUUGUUUCUGUCCAUCGAAGUCCCCCAGCUCUGCUGUUGGGAGUUCCUUCUCGGCCCUACCCUGAGUGGAUUUUUGUCCGUCGGCCUCCAAGUCACGUCUUAAAUGCUCUCCUUCUGAAUCCAAAUUCACACCUCCUGGAGCCGUACGUUCAAUGACUUCCUGCUCAUGGCUCACUUUCCAAAGUGCCAGUUGAAGUGCUUCCCGUCCGUGACCUAAUGAGUUUUCUUGUUCUAAAACGUAGAGUGGCUCUUCAAGUUUCAGAUCGUCUCCAAUGAGAUUGUCACCCUGGGUUAAGCUACACCGUGGCGUCAUCUCCUUUUCCGCAUCGGACAGCACUUGCCGCAGUCCAGACGCUUCUUCCACCGCUGUACUCUCGGAAAGAACUCUUUCCUUUUCCGUCACUGUAUCACUUUGCCUCAACACGGAAGGCUGCGAUUCCCAUUCUUCAAUCCUCUCUUUCUUUUCCUCAUGUAUCCGGUCCCAUUCUCUCCUUAAAGCGUCUCUCUCACUUUCUACCGAAGAUAAUUUGCUAUUGAUGUCUUUGACGGUGUCCUCAAGUUCUUCAAUUUUCCUGGUAGACUCUGCUUUUUCAGUCUGUAGCACUUGAAUGGUGUUUUGCAUAUGCUCAAUGACAGACUCAUCAGCUGCUCUGAGUCCAGAGUCGUCCUUCUCUAACAGAUUUUCCAGUUCUUUGAUUCUUUUUUCAUAGCCUCUUGACUUUUGAUGGUACCUGCGACGUAUCUCUGCCAGUGUCUGUUGAUAGACGUUCUGCAGUACUGCCUUUUCAAGUUGAUGGUCAUCAAUUGCCUCCUGUCGAUUCUGUUCGAGUUCCCUGAUGGUAACCUGCAGUUUGUAGAUUUCAUUUUGCUCGGCGCUAUUCGCUCCCGGUGCUGAAGUCUGGGACAAAUGCUUCCGAUGGCUAACUUCAGCCUCCAGUCUUAAAACUUCAUUUGACAGUCUGCUUAUUUCUUGUUGUGACCAAAUGAGGUCAGCAAAGUCCAGGUCAUCCCCCGGGGAAGCUGACGCAAAGUAGUUGAUACCGUAACCCAAGGAAGGUGACGCUGUGGUGGAUUGAAGGGCUGAUUGGAGCUCCAGCAACUGGUUCUUGAGCCCUAUGUGUCUCACUUUAAGAAGUUUCAUUUCUACCUCUUUCUGUUGCAGCUGAUGUCGGUAGCUAAGAGUCUGCCGCUUUAUUUGAAGCUCCGAGGCUUCAUACUUCUCUUCCAGGUGACUACAAAGACUUUUAAGUCUCUGAUUCUCCGAUCUUAAGGUUUCCCGACUCACUUGACUCUCUUUUCGGUCAGAGUCAGGUCCUUCUCCCACCUUGUCGGUUCCCUCCACCCGCACAUCUUUGAUGACCUCCGAGAUGCGGUCAGUGAAGGAAGCCACACUGCCACCCACUUGCUCUAGGGAAUGGCCCAGGCCACCAAACGAAAAGGACAUCGCUGCGGGUCACAGAACUGACCUGGUCCGCUCGGCAAAAAGCGUCCAGCGCAGUCGGACAGUCCCGCUAACUGUCUCCAGAGGGAGGCCUGCGCGAGGCUAAAUAUCAAAUCACAAUCAGGCGUUUCUAGGCAACGCCACACCGCACGCGGGGCUGCUAGGGUCCGCGAGAGCCCUGCCCACGACCUCCCAUCCCUUACCCUCCCCCCACUGCCCCGCGGCCAUCCCUGGGGGUCCCCAGGUACCUGUGAGCACCUGCGGGGGAAAAUGCCUCUCGCCUUGGACUUUCCCGGGAAGUCCAAUCAAAGCACACAGCGCUCUGCAGCUUGUGGUUUCCAGCCGCCGCAGCAGCCGCGGUAGCAGCCGCAGUCGGCGCAGCAGCAGCUCAGUCGCCGCACCCGCCACAGUAGCACCCGCGGCCGGCGCAGCCGCCGCCGCUCAGCCGCCACCGCAGCCGCAGUAGCAGCCGCAGCCGGCGCAGCAGCAGGCGCAGCAGCAACCGCCGCUCAGCCGCCGCAGCCACCGCAGUAGCAGCCGCAACCGGCGUAGCCGCCGCCGCUCAGCCGCGGCGGCAGCCGCAGUAGCAGCCACAGCCGGAGCAGCCGCUGCCGCUCACCCACCGCCACAGCCGUCGCAGCAGCAGCCGCCGCUCAGCCGCAGCAGCCGCCGCCGCCGC